ACAUGACAAGACAACGCAAAAUCCGACAAGUUUGGAUUCGGAAAGGUGAUAUCUUUCCUUGCUCUUCAUUUUAGUUUGUGUUUAUUGUUUAUGUAAUGCUUUGAUUGGUGCUUGUUGCAUAUUUUUAUUCAUUGCAUUACAUGAUGAUUUUUGUGUGUAAAAUUUAUUUUUAAAAUUGAUUUGAGGAAAGGUGUUUGGAAAUUUUAAAUUUUUUUUCUUUGAGAAAGGAGAUGAUUGAAAAUCAUUAUUUUGGAGAGAUUAAAUUUUUCAAAGUGUUUUAAACGAUAUUUAACUUCACAUUCAUCUUGAAUUAAAUUCAUUUUAAUUAUCGGUUUUACUCCACUUUUUAUUAUUUUGACGAUAAUUGAUUAUAUGAAUUCCUAAUACAUAUAUUCAUCAAAAUUUUGAAAUAAAUUUUAAUCUUUUGGUGAUUAAUUCAUCUUGGUUGUGUGUGUUGAAUAUGAUGGAUGGAUAUUCACUAAUCGACUAAAAUUUUGUCAAAAUUAUUUUCAAUUGUAAGAUUGUCUAAUUAAGGGGGAGUUCAUAUUAUUAAAAAAAAAAGAAAAAGCUCCUAUGUUUGAAAGAUGUGGAAAGAGUUACAUCUAAAAGGAGUGUGAAAACUACCACCAUAUGUAGGAAAGAGCCACCACCCCAGUCGUCCGGUAAGUUUGUGAAGCUAUCACAUGGAAUUUAAAUGAAAAACCAAAAAAGUUAAAAAAAAUAAAUAAAUAUUUUAGAAUUUUCGGAGUUAUAAGGUGAUAGGAUGAAAAGAUGCUCAAAGAGCCACUCCCGGUUGCAUAUUAGUUAAAUCUCUAUUUUAAACGAGUUGCGACAAAUUGGUGUCAAUUUUGUUGAAUUUCUAAAAAUCAAUUUUAAUCAACUUACAUCUUGAUGGUUAUGAAUCAUUAUAUUAUUUUUGAUAACAGAAUUUUAAUGUUUCGAUGUAUUUUGACCUCCUAUAAUAUUUUAUUGUCAUUAUAAUGAUUUUUGGAGUACAAUUUUUAAUUUUUAUGAAAUUAAUUUGAUUUUGAGGGAUUUUUGAUGAAAUUUUUUCAAAAUUUUCGAAAUCUGUGGAAGUGUACCGGUACAAAAUAACGUGUACCGGUACAAAUCAUUGUGCCGCGUCUUUUAUAUCCGGUUACAGCAUUCGGUUUUUCCCCCAAACUCUUUCAAAAUUCCUCCUUUCUCUCUCUAAAAAUCCCAGGUGGUCUUCUCCUUCAUAUCCACGUAUUUCCCCUCAAGAUUUGUAAGUUUAUAGUGCGGAUUUAAUCAUUUGCUCGCGUUUUUGCUAUUUUUUCGAAAAUAUU
This 1307-nucleotide long non-coding RNA is filed under the name Ananas comosus (pineapple). RNAcentral describes it as "long non-coding RNA (ACOM_LNC019693)". The record is from RNAcentral. Lineage: Eukaryota; Viridiplantae; Streptophyta; Magnoliopsida; Poales; Bromeliaceae.